This is a long non-coding RNA of Astyanax mexicanus (Mexican tetra), 762 nucleotides long. RefSeq lists it as uncharacterized. NCBI's taxonomy places the organism in Eukaryota, Metazoa, Chordata, Actinopteri, Characiformes, Acestrorhamphidae. The record is from RefSeq and is a predicted model, not a curated record. The transcript has 2 exons.
GGGGGAGACUGAGCGCUGCCUCUGCCAUGUUGGAAUUUCAAACCCCAAACAGCUGCUGCUGCACGGAGAGCCAGCGCGCCGCCGAUUGCGCAUGCGCCCUGCCGAGGAGCCAAAUUCAAAGCAGGGGUUGCGCGGACGACGCUGCUUUAACCACAGGGGUCAGUGCACUGAGAGGACUCCAGCGAUAUGUUUUCAGCGCUACACCUCCAACAGAGGAGCAGGGAUUGAGGAUGUGAGUUCGGACACAUGCGACGAGCGUCACCCAUAUUCCCCUGUGCCUGCGCUGCUCUAUAUGCUGGAGCCUUGGAGUGAUGCAUUGAUCCGGCCCUGAGCGCUCCCCAGUGAGCUCACUGGCCAUUUCCAGCACAGCCUUCAACCCCUUUGAGAAUUCCUGCCCACUGGGCACCCACCUCCUCACCACUCAGCCUCUCUAACAAAUGACCGACCGCCUCACUCCAAGGUAAUAAUUACUGUCCCGGUCCUGGCUGUGUCCGGUUGCUGCAGCUGGACCCACAGCUCCUUCGUCUUUCGCUGCUGUAGCUAAUCUUGAUUUAAUUGAGUCCCACCCCACCUUGCUUUUUUGGCAGAGAGGACUGUUCAUUACAGUGGAACAAUGUGGAUGUGAGGAGAAGGUGUAAUAGAGGGGAUACUUAGAGCAGCCUGUGAAAUGUAAUCGACUUCAAGCAGUAAACUAGACUGUACAACAGAGAGGAAACAGGAGGAGGAGAAAAGAGAGAGAGUGAGAGAGAGAGAGAGAGAGAG